RNAcentral lists this small RNA (275 nucleotides) under Pongo abelii (Sumatran orangutan). RNAcentral's name for it is "processed transcript". Lineage: Eukaryota; Metazoa; Chordata; Mammalia; Primates; Hominidae. The record is from RNAcentral.
GAGCUGGGCGGAAGAAGGCGAGGCGGGAGCCAGGCCCGGCCCAGACCGCCGCGGCGCCGUGAGUCCCGGGCGGGCAAGGAGGCGCGGGCCGUCCCGGGCCAACACGUGGCACCGCUCCAUGCUGCGCGGCGCGGCUGGGGACCGUGACAAACACUCAUCGUUGGGUGGGGCUCUAGUGCAGUCCGUUGGUGCCAAUAUUUUAUAAGCGACGUUUUCAAACUAUGUGAAGAUCCUUUUCUUUUCUUUUGAGACGGAGGCUCGCUCUGUCGCCCGGG